Molecule: ribosomal RNA, 492 nt
Filed under: uncultured bacterium
Lineage: Bacteria
Description: partial 16S ribosomal RNA
Rfam family: Bacterial small subunit ribosomal RNA (bases 54-492)
Source: RNAcentral
GGGGGGGGGGGGGGGGGGGGGGGGGGGGGGGGGGGGGGGGGGGGGGGGGGGGAGAGGGGGGUGUUGCGGGGGGCGAGGGGCGGACGGGGGGGGGAGACGGCGGAAGCUGGGUUGGCGGGGGGGAGACCGUGGGGAAGCUUACGCGCAUACCGCAUACGACGUACGGGUGAAAGCAGGGGCUCUUCGGACCUUGCGCGAGUGAAGGAGCCGAUUGCGGAUUAGCUAGGUGGCGGGGCAAAGGCCCACCAAGGCGGCGAUCCGUAUCUGGUCUGAGAGGAUGGUCAGCCAGCGUGGAACUGAGACACGGUCCAGACUCCUACGGGAGGCAGCAGUGGGGAAUAUUGGACAAUGGGCGCAAGCCUGAGCCAGCCAUACCGCGUGGGUGAAGAAGGCCUUCGGGUUGUAGAGCCCUUUUGUUGGGAAAGAAAAGCAGCAGGUUAAUACCCCGCUGUUCUGACGGUACCCAAAGAAUAAGCACCGGCUAACUUCGUG